Molecule: ribosomal RNA, 1372 nt
Filed under: uncultured bacterium
Lineage: Bacteria
Description: bacterial SSU rRNA
Rfam family: Bacterial small subunit ribosomal RNA
Source: RNAcentral
GAUGAACGCUGGCUGCGUGCCUAAUACAUGCAAGUCGAGCGAACGGACGAGAAGCUUGCUUCUCUGAUGUUAGCGGCGGACGGGUGAGUAACACGUGGAUAACCUACCUAUAAGACUGGGAUAACUUCGGGAAACCGGAGCUAAUACCGGAUAAUAUUUUGAACCGCAUGGUUCAAAAGUGAAAGACGGUCUUGCUGUCACUUAUAGAUGGAUCCGCGCUGCAUUAGCUAGUUGGUAAGGUAACGGCUUACCAAGGCAACGAUGCAUAGCCGACCUGAGAGGGUGAUCGGCCACACUGGAACUGAGACACGGUCCAGACUCCUACGGGAGGCAGCAGUAGGGAAUCUUCCGCAAUGGGCGAAAGCCUGACGGAGCGACGCCGCGUGAGUGAUGAAGGUCUUCGGAUCGUAAAACUCUGUUAUUAGGGAAGAACAUAUGUGUAAGUAACUGUGCACAUCUUGACGGUACCUAAUCAGAAAGCCACGGCUAACUACGUGCCAGCAGCCGCGGUAAUACGUAGGUGGCAAGCGUUAUCCGGAAUUAUUGGGCGUAAAGCGCGCGUAGGCGGUUUUUUAAGUCUGAUGUGAAAGCUCACGGCUCAACCGUGGAGGGUCAUUGGAAACUGGAAAACUUGAGUGCAGAAGAGGAAAGUGGAAUUCCAUGUGUAGCGGUGAAAUGCGCAGAGAUAUGGAGGAACACCAGUGGCGAAGGCGACUUUCUGGUCUGUAACUGACGCUGAUGUGCGAAAGCGUGGGGAUCAAACAGGAUUAGAUACCCUGGUAGUCCACGCCGUAAACGAUGAGUGCUAAGUGUUAGGGGGUUUCCGCCCCUUAGUGCUGCAGCUAACGCAUUAAGCACUCCGCCUGGGGAGUACGACCGCAAGGUUGAAACUCAAAGGAAUUGACGGGGACCCGCACAAGCGGUGGAGCAUGUGGUUUAAUUCGAAGCAACGCGAAGAACCUUACCAAAUCUUGACAUCCUUUGACAACUCUAGAGAUAGAGCCUUCCCCUUCGGGGGACAAAGUGACAGGUGGUGCAUGGUUGUCGUCAGCUCGUGUCGUGAGAUGUUGGGUUAAGUCCCGCAACGAGCGCAACCCUUAAGCUUAGUUGCCAUCAUUAAGUUGGGCACUCUAAGUUGACUGCCGGUGACAAACCGGAGGAAGGUGGGGAUGACGUCAAAUCAUCAUGCCCCUUAUGAUUUGGGCUACACACGUGCUACAAUGGACAAUACAAAGGGCAGCGAAACCGCGAGGUCAAGCAAAUCCCAUAAAGUUGUUCUCAGUUCGGAUUGUAGUCUGCAACUCGACUACAUGAAGCUGGAAUCGCUAGUAAUCGUAGAUCAGCAUGCUACGGUGAAUACGUUCCCGGGUCU